This 472-nucleotide ribosomal RNA is filed under the name uncultured bacterium. RNAcentral's name for it is "partial 16S ribosomal RNA". It matches the Rfam family "Bacterial small subunit ribosomal RNA", at positions 28 to 507 of the family's 1533-position model. The record is from RNAcentral.
GACGAACGCUGGCGGCGUGCUUAACACAUGCAAGUCGAACGCUGAAGCUUGGUGCUUGCACUGGGUGGAUGAGUGGCGAACGGGUGAGUAAUACGUGAGUAACCUGCCCUUGACUCUGGGAUAAGCCUGGGAAACUGGGUCUAAUACUGGAUACGACAUGUCACCGCAUGGUGGUGUGUGGAAAGGGUUUUACUGGUUUUGGAUGGGCUCACGGCCUAUCAGCUUGUCGGUGGGGUAAUGGCUCACCAAGGCGACGACGGGUAGCCGGCCUGAGAGGGUGACCGGCCACACUGGGACUGAGACACGGCCCAGACUCCUACGGGAGGCAGCAGUGGGGAAUAUUGCACAAUGGGCGGAAGCCUGAUGCAGCGACGCCGCGUGAGGGAUGACGGCCUUCGGGUUGUAAACCUCUUUCAGCACGGAAGAAGCGAAAGUGACGGUACGUGCAGAAGAAGCGCCGGCUAACUACGUG